Molecule: long non-coding RNA, 1911 nt
Organism: Gallus gallus (chicken)
Lineage: Eukaryota; Metazoa; Chordata; Aves; Galliformes; Phasianidae
Source: Ensembl
CCCUGCUCAGAAACACGCGGCGCCUGUACAGCCGCCAGCGCUGCUCUCACAUCCUCCCGACGCGCGCACUCAGUCAAAAACGACGGCUGGCGGAGGGGGGGGGGGGCGUAGAGCCAAAAUAGCGGCCGUCGUCCCUGGGUGGGCUCGAACCACCAACCUUUCGGUUAACAGCCGAACGCGCUAACCGAUUGCGCCACAGAGACUGCCCCUGCAUUCCGCCUUGGCGGCACGGCUGAUGCGGGCGCUGCCCAGCGCUGCAGCCGCGCCGCUCUCCUCCGCCCGGCUGAGCGAAACGAAACGAAACGCAACGCGGCUGCUCAGCGCUACGCCCCGUGCGGCCUUAAAAGAGGGCCGAGCCAACAGUGGCAACAGCGGGUUACCUUAACUUAGGCGAUCCGAAAUGCUGAUCCCUCAUAGCGGGCUUUAACUGGGUGGGCUUUAAGGUUCCUUCCAACCCAAGCCGUUCUCUGGUUCUAUGACAUACAUUGACAAACCGGUGUUACGACAGUCUCCUCGGGGCUGGUACUACUUCAGCCAUUACACGUGCAGGACAAACUCUUAUUCCUAAAUAUCACGGCAAAACCACCCUAUGAAUAUAUUCAAGGGCAAUGAGAAGUGGCUGCAGGGAACUGUUAUUUCGGAAAGUAACCUUCCAGAAGCGCCUUCCUGUGCUCACAGAGCUCAGCUAUGUUUAUCCCGCUGGGUGACCAAACGUAGCAGAAGAAAAGCUGGCAUUUCCAUUCCUAUUUUAUCCACAUUUACUUCCCACCUUCCCGUAUAACAAAUCAGUGCCCGUGGCUUUGCCAAGUACAAAGCUCUCGCACUCAAACACGAGCAGAUGUUUUCCUCUUCUCUUUCACAGCCCUCCUGGAUCUCCAUGAAGCCCUACAACACUCCUUGCUUCGCACUCUCCCCCACCUCCGUGGAGCUCUGCCUGGCGGUUGCUGCCUGCAGAAAGCCCAGAGCCCAACAUCUGAAGGAUGUUUUAAAGCGUGGGGGGUUGCAUCAUGGCCAGAGCACGGCUAUUUGCAGCGUCACAAGAGCAGCUCCCAGGCUGCACCACGUCAGGUUUCUGCAUGCAGGAGGACAAACGCACAGCACUGUGAUGUACACCCAUCUGCCUUCCUGUACGAGCAAAUGGGUGCACGCACAGGGGUGGAAAUGGCAAGUACUACACUGAAGAAAGGCCUAUGCUUGGGCACAGAUUUGGGGCCCUGAAACAUUUUCCCAUCACCUGAAUGAACGCAAACUUGGACAGUGGCAAAAUCUGACUACAGGCCAGACCUAAAUAGGGCAUUUAGAUGUGCUGACCCUGAGCACAGCUCUAAGUCUCACAUGCCUGAGAGGAACAUGGGAACUGCCAAUGGAUGUCCAAGGCUCAUCUGGCCCAUAGGGACCAGGGCAGCAAAAGAUCUGGGCAUGGAUGACUUCCAGUGUCUUCUAAAGCACUACCCGGUGAGCCGGCAUAGCAGAGAGCAGCGUGGCUUACCUCUGUAAAUGGAGAAGUCUGAGUGUCUGCUCUCUGGAGAGGCCUUCUGACUACACCUCCAGGAUAGGAAGAUGCCAAGUACUGCUUAUGGUGUUCUACUUCAGCUACUGCUUGCCACCAAAAGAUCCUGUGUGUCUUCUUCUGAAAAGUAUCGUUUCAGUCCUUAGCAGAAGCAGGGCAUUAAAAUAGAAGAAUAGCUAACAUGCAAUAUUGCUGUUAAAAUUAUUAAAAAUGGAGAAUAAAAUUUGCAUUACAAAAUGUUUAUUUUCUGCAGCUGCAGACAUCCAGCCACGAGAAGUAUUAUUUCUGAAGGAUUCAAGAUGUUGGAAGAAACAGUUACAGACAGCCUUCCUCCAGCAGCUUCAAAACUUCUGUUCUAUUCAUUCUCCAAAUAAAAUAAAAUUAGAGGUAUUUUUAUUCAA